RNAcentral lists this unclassified non-coding RNA (348 nucleotides) under soil metagenome. Its description in RNAcentral is "partial contains 5.8S ribosomal RNA, internal transcribed spacer 2, and large subunit ribosomal RNA". The stretch from base 1 to 120 matches the Rfam family "5.8S ribosomal RNA", at positions 35 to 154 of the family's 154-position model. The record is from RNAcentral.
GAUGAAGAACGUAGCAAAAUGCGAUAAGUAAUGUGAAUUGCAGAAUUCAGUGAAUCAUCGAAUCUUUGAACGCACAUUGCGCCCGCUGGUAUUCCGGCGGGCAUGCCUGUUCGAGCGUCAUUUCAACCCUCAAGCCCCCGGGUUUGGUGUUGGGGAUCGGCUCUGCCCUUCUGGGCGGUGCCGCCCCCGAAAUACAUUGGCGGUCUCGCUGCAGCCUCCAUUGCGUAGUAGCUAACACCUCGCAACUGGAACGCGGCGCGGCCAUGCCGUAAAACCCCAACUUCUGAAUGUUGACCUCGGAUCAGGUAGGAACACCCGCUGAACUUAAGCAUAUCAAUAAGCGGAGGA